This 254-nucleotide ribosomal RNA is filed under the name uncultured bacterium. RNAcentral's name for it is "partial 16S ribosomal RNA". It matches the Rfam family "Bacterial small subunit ribosomal RNA", at positions 524 to 776 of the family's 1533-position model. The record is from RNAcentral.
UACGUAGGGUGCGAGCGUUAAUCGGAAUUACUGGGCGUAAAGCGCUCGUAGGCGGUGUGUCACGUCGGCCGUGAAAACCUGCAGCUUAACUGUGGGCGUGCGGUCGAUACGGGCAUCACUGGAGUUCGGCAGGGGAGACUGGAAUUCCUGGUGUAGCGGUGAAAUGCGCAGAUAUCAGGAGGAACACCGGUGGCGAAGGCGGGUCUCUGGGCCGAUACUGACGCUGAGGAGCGAAAGCGUGGGGAGCAAACAGG